This 473-nucleotide long non-coding RNA is filed under the name Homo sapiens (human). RNAcentral describes it as "non-protein coding lnc-KIAA0408-4:2". The record is from RNAcentral. Lineage: Eukaryota; Metazoa; Chordata; Mammalia; Primates; Hominidae.
GUUCUUACUUUAGAGCUGUGACAUCAAGAAAAUUUACCUCUGAUCAUGCCAGGAUUACUAAAUGUUAAAAUCAGACUUCAGUAUCACAAAACAUUUUUAUAUCUGCUCCCCCCCUCACAACCACACAACAAAUAAAAGUUUUCACACAUUCGACUAUAUACCUUCUUACUCAAGCAGUCUGUUUGCAUAUAAUGAAUGGAAACUCAUGAAGCCAAUCAUCUGAGACUUGGAAAUCAGAAAGGUUAAUGACUCCAGAGAGUAAGAUCAGAUUCGUCCACAAAGAGAUGGGCAUAAUACCAAGCUGGGGUGGCACCACCCGGCUAGUUGAAAUAAUCGGAAGUAGACAAGCUCUCAAAGUGUUGAGUGGGGCCCUUAAACUGGAUUCAAAAAAUGCUCUAAACAUAGGAAUGGUUGAAGAGGUCUUGCAGUCUUCAGAUGAAACUAAAUCUCUAGAAGAGGCACAAGAAUGGCUA